UACGUAGGUGGCAAGCGUUGUCCGGAUUUACUGGGCGUAAAGAGCGCGCAGGCGGCCGAGUAAGUCGAAUGUGAAAGCCCCCGGCUCAACUGGGGAAGGUCAUUCGAUACUGUUCGGCUCGAAGAUAGGAGAGGGAAGCGGAAUUUCAGGUGUAGUGGUGAAAUGCGUAGAUAUCUGGAGGAACACCGGUGGCGAAGGCGGCAUCCUGGACCGGCAUUGACGCUGAGGCGCGAAAGCUAGGGGAGCAAACGGG
This 253-nucleotide ribosomal RNA is filed under the name uncultured bacterium. Its description in RNAcentral is "partial 16S ribosomal RNA". It matches the Rfam family "Bacterial small subunit ribosomal RNA", at positions 524 to 776 of the family's 1533-position model. The record is from RNAcentral.